This is a long non-coding RNA of Sapajus apella (tufted capuchin), 1265 nucleotides long. RefSeq lists it as uncharacterized. The record is from RefSeq and is a predicted model, not a curated record. The transcript has 4 exons. NCBI's taxonomy places the organism in Eukaryota, Metazoa, Chordata, Mammalia, Primates, Cebidae.
CAAAACACACACACACACACACACACACACACACACGAGACACCGGAUGGCUCUUUCUCCCUAACAUAAUUUCUAUACCCCGGCUUUUUCUCCCAGCACACCACCAGGCAAACCUCAUGUCCCUGGCAACUCUUAGAGCUCAGAAAGGUUGCUGACCUCUGGGUAAGAUCAGGGACACCUUACUUGUUGUCUGAGUGACACAUACUUGUGAAAUGCAAACACAUUUUUACCUAGCAAGGGCCAAGUCAAUGAAACAAGAAGCAUUUGCACAACACUCUGUGGAUUUCCCAAGCAGCCACAUAAUAUGUCAUUUCCUCUGAUUUUCACAUACUUUGUGACCUCAAAGAAGUCUCGUGAUCCGAGUUCUGUACCUAGCAAGAGAUGAGGCUGCGACUCUGCCACUCCUAUUGUUUUUGGGGCUGAGGCUAGUCACAGAUGUGCAGUGUGAUAGUUGAUGCUUUCCUUUUUCCUGGCACUUAUUCAAAGGCCCGUGUGGAUGGAUGAGGGUUCUUCCUGGUGACCAUGCUCCAAGACCCUGAGGGAGGUUCCCCAUGAUGGCAGAUCCAGUGUGAUGGAAGCUCAUUCUCCUUCAGGGUGACUUGGAGGCUGCAUUCCUGCUCCCUGGGACUGGCUUCAAUACUAAAGAAAACCACACGAGGGCACUAGAGCCACACUGGUUGACUUCUACCACCUUGGUCAGAUCAUGGCUUCGGAAACUGUCCCCCAAGCCAGAGAUGACACCAGUCACUACAGGCCUGGGAUGCUCCCAAUCAGGAUUCAGCUCCCCUAGGAAAUAGGAGGCCAGAAGCUCCCCGUCACUGGGGAGACCAACAGUUAAUUCAGGCAUGACAAGAUGAACAAUCUCUCCCUGCCCUGCCCUGUUCUUUUGCCUCCUCGGGAUGAGGUUCCUGGAAUCCCAGGAGUCUGGCCACCUCCUACCAAGGCAGGCUGCACCACACCAGGCUCCGAUGGACUCGCCCUGAUGAAUCUAUCGCCCUGAUGAAUCUAUCACCUGUUACCUCUGUGCAGACCAUCCACCCCACCAGGCUCCCUGCUGAACCCCUACUUAUCCCUCAAGGCCCAACUUUCCAUGACUGCUGCAAGCAGAUUCAAUUCCCUCUCAUUUGGGAUCCCACAGCUCCUUGGACUGUUUUUACACACUGGAAACUUCAUGAGGGCAGGGGCUGAGUCCCAUUCACCUCUGUAUCCACCAGACCUGAGAGCCAGUAGGCAUUCAGAUGUCUGCUAAACAAAUUUAUUUAUUU